This 429-nucleotide ribosomal RNA is filed under the name uncultured bacterium. Its description in RNAcentral is "bacterial SSU rRNA". It matches the Rfam family "Bacterial small subunit ribosomal RNA", at positions 29 to 482 of the family's 1533-position model. The record is from RNAcentral.
AGCGAACGCUGGCGGAAUGCUUAACACAUGCAAGUCGCACGGGGCUUCGGCCUUAGUGGCGGACGGGUGAGUAACGCGUAGGAAUGUGUCCGAGGGUGGGGGAUAACGUUGGGAAACUGACGCUAAUACCGCAUAUCCCCUGAGGGGGAAAGCAGAGAUGCGCCCACGGAGCAGCCUGCGUCCGAUUAGCUAGUUGGUUAGGUAAAGGCUGACCAAGGCGACGAUCGGUAGCUGGUCUGAGAGGAUGAUCAGCCACACUGGAACUGAGACACGGUCCAGACUCCUACGGGAGGCAGCAGUGGGGAAUUUUGGACAAUGGACGCAAGUCUGAUCCAGCCAUUCCGCGUGCAGGACGAAGGCCUUCGGGUUGUAACUGCUUUGUACAGACGAAAAGGUCUCUAUUAAUACUAGGGCUCAUGACGGUACUGU